GAUGAAGAACGUAGCGAAAUGCGAUAAGUAGUGUGAAUUGCAGAAUUCAGUGAAUCAUCGAAUCUUUGAACGCACAUUGCGCCUCCUGGUAUUCCGGGAGGCAUGCCUGUUCGAGCGUCAUCAAAAACCUCAACCCAUGAUUUAUUGUGAGUUGGUUCUGCAUUGGACUCCUUGUGGGUCCUUUGCGAAAUCCAAUGGCGAAGAGCCACGCAACCAAAGCGUAGUAUAACUAUUUCGUUAUGGAGGCGUGGGUGCCUCUGCCGUAACCCCCAAUUUCUUAGUUUUUGACCUCGGAUCAGGUAGGGAUACCCGCUGAACUUAAGCAUAUCAAUAAGCGGAGGA
RNAcentral lists this unclassified non-coding RNA (342 nucleotides) under soil metagenome. RNAcentral describes it as "partial contains 5.8S ribosomal RNA, internal transcribed spacer 2, and large subunit ribosomal RNA". The stretch from base 1 to 120 matches the Rfam family "5.8S ribosomal RNA", at positions 35 to 154 of the family's 154-position model. The record is from RNAcentral.